UCAAAACUACACAAAGUUUGGUUUAUUGAAUACAAAAUAAGCAUUUAAAAAUAUAAUAUUAAGCAUGGAAUUAACUUUAUCAAACUAAAAUUUACACUAAAUUAUGAAAUGAAUAUUAAAAAUCAGAAAUUGUAAGAAUGAUUAUAAGAAUAAUAAUAAUAACAAUAAGGUUCACUAAAGAAAUGGAUUAAAAUCACAUCACAGAUUACAUAAGAUGUAUUGCAGCAACAGUUUGUUUAACUUGUAUAUACAGCAGUAAAGAAAAAAAUCUUUGAGACCUAUAGGAAUGCCACCUUCACCUGUUCUUAAAAUGCCACUGAGAAUGUUGUAUAGACAACACACUGACUAAACACUUUCACUUUCCCCCAAUAGAUGUUAGGCAACUGUUCAAUAUUAGUUAAGGGUGGACUCAAUCAUUCAUGCCAGAUAAAUAAAUGAGGAUUUCAAAAGUUUAAACAAAUCUCAUCUUACUUUAUUUAUUACAAAUAGUUCUUCUGUUUAUUUACAUAAACUAAAGCUGGACUACAGAGAUUAGCACUUAAUACAUAAAAAAAAAUGCACCUUUUGGGGUGAGCCAGCAGUGUGAUGAAGCUCUUGGCUUCCUUAGCUAGGGCUCUUUAGUGAUUGUGAUUGCUGGAUUAUUAGGACAACUUGAGUUCACCCAUCUCUAAUUUGUACAUGGCAUUUUGGGGGAAAGUAAAGAUGAACAAAUGGCUAACCACAUGACACCCCCAUUCACUGUUAGCCACAGAAAUAGAUGGCCUUUUUAACAUCCGCCCAAAUGACAACUAAAUCUCAAUGAAAAAAAUUUCCAUUGUAAUGAGUACUUCAAUAGCUACAACAGUUACUAGA
This is a non-coding RNA of Biomphalaria pfeifferi, 852 nucleotides long. NCBI's taxonomy places the organism in Eukaryota, Metazoa, Mollusca, Gastropoda, Planorbidae. The record is from the annotation of a GenBank genome assembly.